This 598-nucleotide ribosomal RNA is filed under the name uncultured fungus. RNAcentral's name for it is "eukaryotic LSU rRNA". The stretch from base 140 to 294 matches the Rfam family "5.8S ribosomal RNA". Lineage: Eukaryota; Fungi. The record is from RNAcentral.
AAUAUUGAGAUCGGCCCCAUUUCUUAAUCCACUUCACACUUGUGCACAUUUUUCCUACUUUCCUUCGGGAGAGUUUGAAAAGCUCUUGUGAUUUUAAUCAAGUCCAGGAUGUGAAUCCAAUUUGAAUAAGUUGUAAAACAACUACAAACGGUGGAUCUCUUGGCUCUCGUAUCGAUGAAGAACGCAGCGAAACGCGAAAUGUAAUGUGAAUUGCAGAAUUCAGUGAAUCAUCGAAUCUUUGAACGCAUCUUGCACUCUCGAAUCACUAUCGAGAGUAUGCCUGUUUGAGUGUCGCGAAACUCUCAACCCCGCCUCAUGCUUUAUUGCGUGUGGGUAGCUUGGGCUUGGAUCAUGAUCUUUGCAGUAAUGCGCUAGCAGAACUGCUGGAUUGAAAUACAACAAGCUGAAUCUAUAUACUUGCGGCUUGACCUGUCGUUGUAAGCACACAAAUGCAUUCGAUGGGGACGCGAGAAAAUGGAAUGAGCUUUCCAAAUGUGUUACACUUUGCAGCUUCUAUUAACUUAGAGCUCUUAGUGCAUUCUGACCUCAAAUCAGGUAGGAUUACCCGCUGAACUUAAGCAUAUCAAUAAGCGGAGGA